AGAAAAGCAGCUCUUAACAAUUGAGGAUGAAGCAUUGUUAAGAGC
Molecule: regulatory RNA element, 45 nt
Organism: Enterococcus saccharolyticus
Lineage: Bacteria; Bacillati; Bacillota; Bacilli; Lactobacillales; Enterococcaceae
Rfam family: uup RNA
Source: Rfam